AUGCCAUGAUGUGGACAUUUUCUUAACAUUUCUUUUAAUCUUUCCCAUGCCUGAUAAACUAAUUCAGUUUCAAUCUGCAAGAAAUUAGAAAUUUCUUGUCUUAACUU
RNAcentral lists this small nucleolar RNA (107 nucleotides) under Capsicum annuum. Its description in RNAcentral is "Plant small nucleolar RNA R71". It matches the Rfam family "Plant small nucleolar RNA R71". From Rfam's summary of the family: R71 is a member of the C/D box family of snoRNAs containing the C (UGAUGA) and D (CUGA) box motifs. Multiple nearly identical copies of this snoRNA have been identified in Arabidopsis, and it is thought to function as a 2'-O-ribose methylation guide for 18S ribosomal RNA. Lineage: Eukaryota; Viridiplantae; Streptophyta; Magnoliopsida; Solanales; Solanaceae. The record is from Rfam by way of RNAcentral.